This is a long non-coding RNA of Cygnus atratus (black swan), 747 nucleotides long. RefSeq lists it as uncharacterized. The transcript has 3 exons. The record is from RefSeq and is a predicted model, not a curated record. NCBI's taxonomy places the organism in Eukaryota, Metazoa, Chordata, Aves, Anseriformes, Anatidae.
CUUGUGCCUGAGGUUGCUGAUGGGAGCACUGCCGCCGUUCCUCAGCAGGAAAGCAGCGCAGGGCAGCGCCGAAGGCUUCUGAACAAGCAGGAGGCGUGGGUUUCUAGCGCUGGAAAGGAAGUUUGCCCAGGAAGGGAAGUUGGUGCACUCACAAGUCCAGGGACCUUUUCAUCCUACUGAUCAAAGAUUGAGCAGUGAACCAGCAUCCUACAUCCUGAUGUCUGUUGGCACAUAAAUGAGAAAUAUUAUUUGCGGCGUUGAAGAACACAGCUAACGCAUGAAUUACUACCAUGAUAAUUCAGAGAAAUUGCUCUGUAACUUUCCAUCACAACUCUCUGUAGUCGUGACCUGCCAGAGUCUUCUUUCUUCAGUUAAAUCUUCCUUGUGAACGGAGUGUAGCACACGGAAUAGUGACUGAUUAUGUGACUGUUUUCUGGUAGCAGCAAACGCUUUAGAGGGAUUUAAGACGAAGUGAACUGACACUGACAUUUUCCCUUGGGAUUCCAAUCAGGAUUAAACUCAGUGAGUCCAGACUAAGAGGAAAGUGCAUUAAAAGCUAUCGGCCACCUCCAGAUCUCCACUGUCUUUCUUGUAUUGUUUUUUGGGCUGUUUUAUGAUUUGUGCAAGGAAGAAGACUUGAGAAAGUUCAAUCAGAGAAAAUUCUGAGCAGGUAGUUGUGUGAUUUGAGAUCCCAAAUAAAUGUAUGAAAUGAGAAGUUAUUAGGUCCUUUUCUACAGAAUUUGCAUU